Molecule: ribosomal RNA, 468 nt
Filed under: uncultured bacterium
Lineage: Bacteria
Description: partial 16S ribosomal RNA
Rfam family: Bacterial small subunit ribosomal RNA
Source: RNAcentral
GACGAACGCUGGCGGCGUGCUUAACACAUGCAAGUCGAACGGAAAGGCCCUGCUUUUGUGGGGUGCUCGAGUGGCGAACUGGUGAGUAACACGUGAGUAACCUGCCCUUGACUUUGGGAUAACUUCAGGAAACUGGGGCUAAUACCGGAUAGGAGCUCCUGCUGCAUGGUGGGGGUUGGAAAGUUUCGGCGGUUGGGGAUGGACUCGCGGCUUAUCAGCUUGUUGGUGGGGUAGUGGCUUACCAAGGCUUUGACGGGUAGCCGGCCUGAGAGGGUGACCGGCCACAUUGGGACUGAGAUACGGCCCAGACUCCUACGGGAGGCAGCAGUGGGGAAUAUUGCACAAUGGGCGGAAGCCUGAUGCAGCAACGCCGCGUGCGGGAUGACGGCCUUCGGGUUGUAAACCGCUUUCGCCUGUGGCGAAGCGUGAGUGACGGUAAUGGGUAAAGAAGCACCGGCUAACUACGUG